CCUACGGGAGGCAGCAGUGAGGAAUAUUGGUCAAUGGACGAGAGUCUGAACCAGCCAAGUAGCGUGAAGGAUGACUGCCCUAUGGGUUGUAAACUUCUUUUAUAAAGGAAUAAAACGAGGCACGUGUGCCUUUUUGCAUGUACUUUAUGAAUAAGGAUCGGCUAACUCAGUGCCAGCAGCCGCGGUAAUACGGAGGAUCCGAGCGUUAUCCGGAUUUAUUGGGUUUAAAGGGAGCGUAGAUGGGUUGUUAAGUCAGUUGUGAAAGUUUGCGGCUCAACCGUAAAAUUGCAAUUGAUACUGGCAGUCGUGAGUACAGUUGAGGUAGGCGGAAUUCGUGGUGUAGCGGUGAAAUGCUUAGAUAUCACGAAGAACCCCGAUUGCGAAGGCAGCUUACUAAACUGUGACUGACAUUGAUGCUCGAAAGUGUGGGUAUCAAACAGGAUUAGAUACCCUUGUAGUC
RNAcentral lists this ribosomal RNA (460 nucleotides) under uncultured bacterium. RNAcentral describes it as "partial 16S ribosomal RNA". It matches the Rfam family "Bacterial small subunit ribosomal RNA", at positions 338 to 795 of the family's 1533-position model. The record is from RNAcentral.